CAUAGUCUAAUGGUAUGACUUCAACUUACGGCGUUGAAAAUCUGGGUUCGAUUCCCAG
RNAcentral lists this transfer RNA (58 nucleotides) under Lotharella oceanica. It matches the Rfam family "tRNA", at positions 7 to 63 of the family's 71-position model. Rfam says of the family: Transfer RNA (tRNA) molecules are approximately 80 nucleotides in length. The record is from RNAcentral. Lineage: Eukaryota; Cercozoa; Chlorarachniophyceae.